CUCCUCCCCUUCUCCUCUCUCUCCUCCCUCACUCUUUCAUCUCUCUCACUUACUCUGUUUCUCUCUCACACACAUUGAUUCAGCACGGUGGAGGUUGGUGCCUUUUAAGAUGAGUGAGGACGAUACAUGUUUUGUUGCAAACAAGAGUUUCCAUUGGACAAAUUCAGGCAAUAUCAAUGCUGUGCGUUACAGGGAAGACAUCCUCCUCCCUCAUGUGGUACCCUUCCUGUAGGCUCAUCCUGACAUGACCCCCCAGCAUAUCAAUGCCACCAGCCAUACUGUUUGUUCUGUGUGUGAUUGUCGUGAAUGUCAGUGUUCUGCCAUGGCCAGCGAAGAGCCCAGAUCUCAACCCCAUUGAGCACGUCUGGGACCUGUUGGAUCGGAGGGUGAGGGAUAGGGACAUUCCCCCCAG
Long non-coding RNA from Oncorhynchus tshawytscha (Chinook salmon), 412 nucleotides. NCBI's taxonomy places the organism in Eukaryota, Metazoa, Chordata, Actinopteri, Salmoniformes, Salmonidae. The record is from Ensembl.